CAUCUCCUAAGGCUAAAUACUCUCUAGUGACCGAUAGUGAACCAGUACCGUGAGGGAAAGGUGAAAAGCACCCCGGAAGGGGAGUGAAAUAGAACCUGAAACCGUGUGCUUACAAGUAGUCAGAGCCCGUUAAUGGGUGAUGGCGUGCCUUUUGUAGAAUGAACCGGCGAGUUACGAUUUGAUGCAAGGUUAAGCAGUAAAUGUGGAGCCGUAGCGAAAGCGAGUCUGAAUAGGGCGUUUAGUAUUUGGUCGUAGACCCGAAACCAGGUGAUCUACCCUUGGUCAGGUUGAAGUUCAGGUAACACUGAAUGGAGGACCGAACCGACUUACGUUGAAAAGUGAGCGGAUGAACUGAGGGCAGCGGAGAAAUUCCAAUCGAACCUGGAGAUAGCUGGUUCUCUCCGAAAUAGCUUUAGGGCUAGCCUCAAGUGAUGAUUAUUGGAGGUAGAGCACUGUUUGGACGAGGGGCCCCUCUCGGGUUACCGAAUUCAGACAAACUCCGAAUGCCAAUUAAUUUAACUUGGGAGUCAGAACAUGGGUGAUAAGGUCCGUGUUCGAAAGGGAAACAGCCCAGACCACCAGCUAAGGUCCCAAAAUAUAUGUUAAGUGGAAAAGGAUGUGGCGUUGCCCAGACAACUAGGAUGUUGGCUUAGAAGCAGCCAUCAUUUAAAGAGUGCGUAAUAGCUCACUAGUCGAGUGACACUGCGCCGAAAAUGUACCGGGGCUAAACAUAUUACCGAAGCUGUGGAUUGUCCUUUGGACAAUGGUAGGAGAGCGUUCUAAGGGCGUUGAAGCAUGAUCGUAAGAACAUGUGGAGCGCUUAGAAGUGAGAAUGCCGGUGUGAGUAGCGAAAGACGGGUGAGAAUCCCGUCCACCGAUUGACUAAGGUUUCCAGAGGAAGGCUCGUCCGCUCUGGGUUAGUCGGGUCCUAAGCUGAGGCCGACAGGCGUAGGCGAUGGAUAACAGGUUGAUAUUCCUGUACCACCUAUAAUCGUUUUAAUCGAUGGGGGGACGCAGUAGGAUAGGCGAAGCGUGCGAUUGGAUUGCACGUCUAAGCAGUAAGGCUGAGUAUUAGGCAAAUCCGGUACUCGUUAAGGCUGAGCUGUGAUGGGGAGAAGACAUUGUGUCUUCGAGUCGUUGAUUUCACACUGCCGAGAAAAGCCUCUAGAUAGAAAAUAGGUGCCCGUACCGCAAACCGACACAGAUAGUCAAGAUGAGAAUUCUAAGGUGAGCGAGCGAACUCUCGUUAAGGAACUCGGCAAAAUGACCCCGUAACUUCGGGAGAAGGGGUGCUCUUUAGGGUUAACGCCCAGAAGAGCCGCAGUGAAUAGGCCCAAGCGACUGUUUAUCAAAAACACAGGUCUCUGCUAAACCGUAAGGUGAUGUAUAGGGGCUGACGCCUGCCCGGUGCUGGAAGGUUAAGAGGAGUGGUUAGCUUCUGCGAAGCUACGAAUCGAAGCCCCAGUAAACGGCGGCCGUAACUAUAACGGUCCUAAGGUAGCGAAAUUCCUUGUCGGGUAAGUUCCGACCCGCACGAAAGGCGUAACGAUUUGGGCACUGUCUCAACGAGAGACUCGGUGAAAUCAUAGUACCUGUGAAGAUGCAGGUUACCCGCGACAGGACGGAAAGACCCCGUGGAGCUUUACUGUAGCCUGAUAUUGAAAUUCGGCACAGCUUGUACAGGAUAGGUAGGAGCCUUUGAAACGUGAGCGCUAGCUUACGUGGAGGCGCUGGUGGGAUACUACCCUAGCUGUGUUGGCUUUCUAACCCGCACCACUUAUCGUGGUGGGAGACAGUGUCAGGCGGGCAGUUUGACUGGGGCGGUCGCCUCCUAAAAGGUAACGGAGGCGCUCAAAGGUUCCCUCAGAAUGGUUGGAAAUCAUUCAUAGAG
Molecule: ribosomal RNA, 1891 nt
Filed under: Staphylococcus aureus
Lineage: Bacteria; Bacillati; Bacillota; Bacilli; Caryophanales; Staphylococcaceae
Description: partial 23S ribosomal RNA
Rfam family: Bacterial large subunit ribosomal RNA
Source: RNAcentral